Molecule: ribosomal RNA, 253 nt
Filed under: uncultured bacterium
Lineage: Bacteria
Description: partial 16S ribosomal RNA
Rfam family: Bacterial small subunit ribosomal RNA
Source: RNAcentral
GACAGAGGUGCCAAGCGUUGUUCGGAUUCACUGGGCGUAAAGGGUGCGUAGGUGGUGAGGUAAGUCGGAUGUGAAAUCUCCGGGCUCAACCCGGAAACUGCAUUGGAAACUACCUUGCUUGAGGAUUUGAGGGGGGAUUGGAAUACUUGGUGUAGCAGUGAAAUGCGUAGAUAUCAAGUGGAACACCAGUGGCGAAGGCGAAUCCCUGGAAAAUACCUGACACUGAGGCACGAAAGCUAGGGGAGCAAACAGG